UGCAGUCGAGCGGAACGAUGGUAGCUUGCUACCAGGCGUCGAGCGGCGGACGGGUGAGUAAUACUUAGGAAUCUACCUAGUAGUGGGGGAUAGCACGGGGAAACUCGUAUUAAUACCGCAUACGACCUACGGGAGAAAGGGGGCAGUUUACUGCUCUCGCUAUUAGAUGAGCCUAAGUCGGAUUAGCUAGAUGGUGGGGUAAAGGCCUACCAUGGCGACGAUCUGUAGCUGGUCUGAGAGGAUGAUCAGCCACACCGGGACUGAGACACGGCCCGGACUCCUACGGGAGGCAGCAGUGGGGAAUAUUGGACAAUGGGGGGAACCCUGAUCCAGCCAUGCCGCGUGUGUGAAGAAGGCCUUUUGGUUGUAAAGCACUUUAAGCAGUGAAGAAGACUCUUCGGUUAAUACCCGGAGACGAUGACAUUAGCUGCAGAAUAAGCACCGGCUAACUCUGUGCCAGCAGCCGCGGUAA
This 472-nucleotide ribosomal RNA is filed under the name uncultured Psychrobacter sp. RNAcentral describes it as "bacterial SSU rRNA". It matches the Rfam family "Bacterial small subunit ribosomal RNA", at positions 56 to 523 of the family's 1533-position model. Lineage: Bacteria; Pseudomonadati; Pseudomonadota; Gammaproteobacteria; Moraxellales; Moraxellaceae. The record is from RNAcentral.